This 481-nucleotide ribosomal RNA is filed under the name uncultured bacterium. Its description in RNAcentral is "bacterial SSU rRNA". It matches the Rfam family "Bacterial small subunit ribosomal RNA", at positions 28 to 526 of the family's 1533-position model. The record is from RNAcentral.
GACGAACGCUGGCGGCGUGCUUAACACAUGCAAGUCGAGCGGAAAGGCCCUUUCGGGGGUACUCGAGCGGCGAACGGGUGAGUAACACGUGAGUAAUCUGCCCCAGACUUCGGGAUAGCUUCGGGAAACCGAGAUUAAUACCGGAUAUUCAUGGUGCCGCGCAUGUGGUGUUGUGGAAAGAUUUUUUGGUUUGGGAUGUGCUCGCGGCCUAUCAGCUUGUUGGUGGGGUAAUGGCCUACCAAGGCGUUGACGGGUAGCCGGCCUGAGAGGGCGACCGGCCACACUGGGACUGAGACACGGCCCAGACUCCUACGGGAGGCAGCAGUGGGGAAUAUUGCACAAUGGGCGAAAGCCUGAUGCAGCGACGCCGCGUGAGGGAUGACGGCCUUCGGGUUGUAAACCUCUUUCAGCAGGGACGAAGCGCAAGUGACGGUACCUGCAGAAGAAGCACCGGCCAACUACGUGCCAGCCGCCGUAACAC